AGAGGCUAAUGAAAGGGUUGUGAAGCUACCCUUCAUUUGAAAACCAUCUAUAUGUUAUAACAGAAAGGAAAAGGACUAUAAGAAGGGAGCAAGUGCUGGUGCUCACCUUCAUCUCCUUUAAAAACUCUUUCUUCUGAAAGCACAACAUGGAACUAAUAUAUGUCUAAGGAGACAAUUGGAACUUUUCAUUUGAGCAACCCAUCUUUCGGUUCCCAACAUGAUUUGAGAAACUUAUAACUCAGUUUGAUCUAUUCAUGCCAGAUCACCUGGUUCUUGAGCUCCCAAGAGUAAGCUCCAGAUCAUCUGAU
This 308-nucleotide unclassified non-coding RNA is filed under the name Hevea brasiliensis (rubber tree). The record is from RNAcentral. Lineage: Eukaryota; Viridiplantae; Streptophyta; Magnoliopsida; Malpighiales; Euphorbiaceae.